CAUGAAGUCGGAAUUGCUAGUAAUCGCGGAUCAGCAUGCCGCGGUGAAUACGUUCCCGGGCCUUGUACACACCGCCCGUCACACCAUGGGAGUCGGUAACACCCGAAGCCGAUAGUCUAACGAAAGAGGACGUCGUCGAAGGUGGGAUUGAUGACUGGGGUGAAGUCGUAACAAGGUAAC
RNAcentral lists this ribosomal RNA (180 nucleotides) under uncultured bacterium. Its description in RNAcentral is "partial 16S ribosomal RNA". It matches the Rfam family "Bacterial small subunit ribosomal RNA", at positions 1319 to 1500 of the family's 1533-position model. The record is from RNAcentral.